UUAAAUUGAAGAGUUUGAUCAUGGCUCAGAUUGAACGCUGGCGGCAGGCCUAACACAUGCAAGUCGAACGGUAACAGGAAGCAGCUUGCUGCUUUGCUGACGAGUGGCGGACGGGUGAGUAAUGUCUGGGAAACUGCCUGAUGGAGGGGGAUAACUACUGGAAACGGUAGCUAAUACCGCAUAAUGUCGCAAGACCAAAGAGGGGGACCUUCGGGCCUCUUGCCAUCGGAUGUGCCCAGAUGGGAUUAGCUAGUAGGUGGGGUAACGGCUCACCUAGGCGACGAUCCCUAGCUGGUCUGAGAGGAUGACCAGCCACACUGGAACUGAGACACGGUCCAGACUCCUACGGGAGGCAGCAGUGGGGAAUAUUGCACAAUGGGCGCAAGCCUGAUGCAGCCAUGCCGCGUGUAUGAAGAAGGCCUUCGGGUUGUAAAGUACUUUCAGCGGGGAGGAAGGCGAUAAGGUUAAUAACCUUGUCGAUUGACGUUACCCGCAGAAGAAGCACCGGCUAACUCCGUGCCAGCAGCCGCGGUAAUACGGAGGGUGCAAGCGUUAAUCGGAAUUACUGGGCGUAAAGCGCACGCAGGCGGUCUGUCAAGUCGGAUGUGAAAUCCCCGGGCUCAACCUGGGAACUGCAUUCGAAACUGGCAGGCUAGAGUCUUGUAGAGGGGGGUAGAAUUCCAGGUGUAGCGGUGAAAUGCGUAGAGAUCUGGAGGAAUACCGGUGGCGAAGGCGGCCCCCUGGACAAAGACUGACGCUCAGGUGCGAAAGCGUGGGGAGCAAACAGGAUUAGAUACCCUGGUAGUCCACGCCGUAAACGAUGUCGACUUGGAGGUUGUGCCCUUGAGGCGUGGCUUCCGGAGCUAACGCGUUAAGUCGACCGCCUGGGGAGUACGGCCGCAAGGUUAAAACUCAAAUGAAUUGACGGGGGCCCGCACAAGCGGUGGAGCAUGUGGUUUAAUUCGAUGCAACGCGAAGAACCUUACCUACUCUUGACAUCCAGAGAACUUUCCAGAGAUGGAUUGGUGCCUUCGGGAACUCUGAGACAGGUGCUGCAUGGCUGUCGUCAGCUCGUGUUGUGAAAUGUUGGGUUAAGUCCCGCAACGAGCGCAACCCUUAUCCUUUGUUGCCAGCGGUUAGGCCGGGAACUCAAAGGAGACUGCCAGUGAUAAACUGGAGGAAGGUGGGGAUGACGUCAAGUCAUCAUGGCCCUUACGAGUAGGGCUACACACGUGCUACAAUGGCGCAUACAAAGAGAAGCGACCUCGCGAGAGCAAGCGGACCUCAUAAAGUGCGUCGUAGUCCGGAUUGGAGUCUGCAACUCGACUCCAUGAAGUCGGAAUCGCUAGUAAUCGUGGAUCAGAAUGCCACGGUGAAUACGUUCCCGGGCCUUGUACACACCGCCCGUCACACCAUGGGAGUGGGUUGCAAAAGAAGUAGGUAGCUUAACCUUCGGGAGGGCGCUUACCACUUUGUGAUUCAUGACUGGGGUGAAGUCGUAACAAGGUAACCGUAGGGGAACCUGCGGUUGGAUCACCUCCUUACCUUAAAGAA
RNAcentral lists this ribosomal RNA (1554 nucleotides) under Enterobacter cloacae. RNAcentral describes it as "bacterial SSU rRNA". It matches the Rfam family "Bacterial small subunit ribosomal RNA". Lineage: Bacteria; Pseudomonadati; Pseudomonadota; Gammaproteobacteria; Enterobacterales; Enterobacteriaceae. The record is from RNAcentral.